AUGCCAAAACAAUUAGGUUGGUGCAAAGUAAUUGAGGUUUUGCCAUCAAAAGUCAUGGAAAAAACUGCAAUUACUUUUGCACCAACCUAAUUGUUUUG
MicroRNA precursor from Chlorocebus sabaeus (green monkey), 98 nucleotides. The record is from Ensembl. Lineage: Eukaryota; Metazoa; Chordata; Mammalia; Primates; Cercopithecidae.